AGAGUUUGAUCAUGGCUCAGAUUGAACGCUGGCGGCAUGCCUUACACAUGCAAGUCGAACGGUAACAGGUCUUCGGAUGCUGACGAGUGGCGAACGGGUGAGUAAUACAUCGGAACGUGCCCAGUAAUGGGGGAUAGCUCGGCGAAAGCCGGAUUAAUACCGCAUACGCCCUGAGGGGGAAAGUGGGGGACCGCAAGGCCUCACGUUAUUGGAGCGGCCGAUGGCUGAUUAGCUAGUUGGUAGGGUAAAGGCCUACCAAGGCGACGAUCAGUAGCUGGUCUGAGAGGACGAUCAGCCACACUGGGACUGAGACACGGCUCAGACUCCUACGGGAGGCAGCAGUGGGGAAUUUUGGACAAUGGGGGAAACCCUGAUCCAGCAAUGCCGCGUGUGCGAAGAAGGCCUUCGGGUUGUAAAGCACUUUUGUCAGGGAAGAAAUCCUUUGGACUAAUACCCUAGGGGGACGACGGUACCUGAAGAAUAAGCACCGGCUAACUACGUGCCAGCAGCCGCGGUAAUACGUAGGGUGCAAGCGUUAAUCGGAAUUACUGGGCGUAAAGCGUGCGCAGGCGGUUGUGUAAGACAGGUGUGAAAUCCCCGGGCUUAACCUGGGAAUUGCAUUUGUGACUGCACGACUAGAGUGUGUCAGAGGGGGGUGGAAUUCCACGUGUAGCAGUGAAAUGCGUAGAUAUGUGGAGGAACACCAAUGGCGAAGGCAGCCCCCUGGGAUAACACUGACGCUCAUGCACGAAAGCGUGGGGAGCAAACAGGAUUAGAUACCCUGGUAGUCC
Molecule: ribosomal RNA, 791 nt
Filed under: uncultured bacterium
Lineage: Bacteria
Description: bacterial SSU rRNA
Rfam family: Bacterial small subunit ribosomal RNA
Source: RNAcentral